Molecule: long non-coding RNA, 302 nt
Filed under: Jatropha curcas
Lineage: Eukaryota; Viridiplantae; Streptophyta; Magnoliopsida; Malpighiales; Euphorbiaceae
Description: long non-coding RNA (JCUR_LNC000209)
Source: RNAcentral
AGGCUAAGACGAAUUUUCCUACAGUUACGGAGCUGAACAACGCGGCUGCAGCCGCCGUUGCCGCGGGAGCAGUCACCGUCGCACGAAGUCCUAGCCAAAGUAGCACCGUUGAGUCUUCAUCACCUACACCUCCACGCGCUGCUUCUCCUCCACCGCCUCUUGACCUUACUCUCAACAUUCCUAGUCAUCAACAUCAUCAUCUCCGCCACGGCCAUUUCCCUACCGGUGUUAUUUUUCCUGGUGGCGCGUGGAUUUCACUGGCGGCGGAGGCUCAUCCAGUUUUCUUCUUCGAUGCGUUCUCU